CUGCACAAAAAUCAAUAAAAUAUAUUUUAAAAAAUAAAUAAAGCUUUUUGGGUGAGCAAUGGCUGCAAACAGCAGCAUGCUUGGUAGUGUAUGCAACCUGUUGCUAGUAUGGGUUGCCAUAAGGGACCUUGGAUAGAGCU
Pipistrellus kuhlii (Kuhl's pipistrelle) is the source of this 140-nucleotide small nucleolar RNA. RefSeq annotates it as small nucleolar RNA SNORA70. The record is from RefSeq and is a predicted model, not a curated record. Lineage: Eukaryota; Metazoa; Chordata; Mammalia; Chiroptera; Vespertilionidae. The transcript has a single exon.